UACGUAGGCAGCAAGCGUUGUUCGGAAUUACUGGGCGUAAAGAGCGCGUAGGUGGCGCGAUACGACCGGUGUGAAAUCCUCCGGCUCAACUGGAGGGGGUCACUGGUAACGGUCGUGAUGAUGAGUGCAGGAGAGGGACGUGGAACUCCGGGAGUAGCGGUGAAAUGCGUAGAGACCCGGAGGAACACCAGUGGCGAAGGCGGCGUCCUGGCCUGCGACUGACGCUGUGGCGCGAAAGCUAGGGGAGCGAACGGG
RNAcentral lists this ribosomal RNA (255 nucleotides) under uncultured bacterium. RNAcentral's name for it is "partial 16S ribosomal RNA". It matches the Rfam family "Bacterial small subunit ribosomal RNA", at positions 524 to 776 of the family's 1533-position model. The record is from RNAcentral.